This 822-nucleotide ribosomal RNA is filed under the name Cryptosporidium parvum. RNAcentral's name for it is "SSU rRNA". It matches the Rfam family "Eukaryotic small subunit ribosomal RNA", at positions 206 to 1080 of the family's 1831-position model. Lineage: Eukaryota; Apicomplexa; Conoidasida; Eucoccidiorida; Cryptosporidiidae. The record is from RNAcentral.
UUUAUUAGAUAAAGAACCAAUAUAAUUGGUGACUCAUAAUAACUUUACGGAUCACAUUAAAUGUGACAUAUCAUUCAAGUUUCUGACCUAUCAGCUUUAGACGGUAGGGUAUUGGCCUACCGUGGCAAUGACGGGUAACGGGGAAUUAGGGUUCGAUUCCGGAGAGGGAGCCUGAGAAACGGCUACCACAUCUAAGGAAGGCAGCAGGCGCGCAAAUUACCAAAUCCUAAUACAGGGAGGUAGUGACAAGAAAUAACAAUACAGGACUUUUUGGUUUUGUAAUUGGAAUGAGUUAAGUAUAAACCCCUUUACAAGUAUCAAUUGGAGGGCAAGUCUGGUGCCAGCAGCCGCGGUAAUUCCAGCUCCAAUAGCGUAUAUUAAAGUUGUUGCAGUUAAAAAGCUCGUAGUUGGAUUUCUGUUAAUAAUUUAUAUAAAAUAUUUUGAUGAAUAUUUAUAUAAUAUUAACAUAAUUCAUAUUACUAUAUAUUUUAGUAUAUGAAAUUUUACUUUGAGAAAAUUAGAGUGCUUAAAGCAGGCAUAUGCCUUGAAUACUCCAGCAUGGAAUAAUAUUAAAGAUUUUUAUCUUUCUUAUUGGUUCUAAGAUAAGAAUAAUGAUUAAUAGGGACAGUUGGGGGCAUUUGUAUUUAACAGUCAGAGGUGAAAUUCUUAGAUUUGUUAAAGACAAACUAAUGCGAAAGCAUUUGCCAAGGAUGUUUUCAUUAAUCAAGAACGAAAGUUAGGGGAUCGAAGACGAUCAGAUACCGUCGUAGUCUUAACCAUAAACUAUGCCAACUAGAGAUUGGAGGUUGUUCCUUACUCCUU